This 343-nucleotide ribosomal RNA is filed under the name uncultured soil bacterium. RNAcentral describes it as "bacterial SSU rRNA". It matches the Rfam family "Bacterial small subunit ribosomal RNA", at positions 26 to 401 of the family's 1533-position model. The record is from RNAcentral.
AGAACGAACGCUGGCGGCAUGCCUAAUACAUGCAAGUCGAACGAACUCUUCGGAGUUAGUGGCGCACGGGUGCGUAACGCGUGGGAAUCUGCCCUUGGGUUCGGAAUAACAGUUGGAAACGACUGCUAAUACCGGAUGAUGACGAAAGUCCAAAGAUUUAUCGCCCAGGGAUGAGCCCGCGUAGGAUUAGCUAGUUGGUGAGGUAAAGCUCACCAAGGCGACGAUCCUUAGCUGGUCUGAGAGGAUGAUCAGCCACACUGGGACUGAGACACGGCCAGACUCCUACGGGAGGCAGGCAGGUAGGGAAUAUGGACAAUGGGACAAAGCCUGAUCAGCAAUCGCG